AUCUGUGGCCAAACCUUCCUGUCAAAGCCUGAUCUUGUCACAUCUCAGAGGCUGAACAGGGCCAGGCCUGGUUAAAACCUGGAUGAGAGGAAUGAGGAAUAUCAAGUGCCACAGUGG
RNAcentral lists this ribosomal RNA (117 nucleotides) under Periophthalmus magnuspinnatus. The record is from RNAcentral. Lineage: Eukaryota; Metazoa; Chordata; Actinopteri; Gobiiformes; Gobiidae.